This 813-nucleotide ribosomal RNA is filed under the name Streptomyces sp. TOB3-9_Pa. RNAcentral's name for it is "bacterial SSU rRNA". It matches the Rfam family "Bacterial small subunit ribosomal RNA", at positions 61 to 889 of the family's 1533-position model. Lineage: Bacteria; Bacillati; Actinomycetota; Actinomycetes; Kitasatosporales; Streptomycetaceae. The record is from RNAcentral.
GUCGAACGAUGAAGCCCUUCGGGGUGGAUUAGUGGCGAACGGGUGAGUAACACGUGGGCAAUCUGCCCUUCACUCUGGGACAAGCCCUGGAAACGGGGUCUAAUACCGGAUGACACUCUGUCCCGCAUGGGACGGGGUUGAAAGCUCCGGCGGUGAAGGAUGAGCCCGCGGCCUAUCAGCUUGUUGGUGGGGUGAUGGCCUACCAAGGCGACGACGGGUAGCCGGCCUGAGAGGGCGACCGGCCACACUGGGACUGAGACACGGCCCAGACUCCUACGGGAGGCAGCAGUGGGGAAUAUUGCACAAUGGGCGAAAGCCUGAUGCAGCGACGCCGCGUGAGGGAUGACGGCCUUCGGGUUGUAAACCUCUUUCAGCAGGGAAGAAGCGAAAGUGACGGUACCUGCAGAAGAAGCGCCGGCUAACUACGUGCCAGCAGCCGCGGUAAUACGUAGGGCGCAAGCGUUGUCCGGAAUUAUUGGGCGUAAAGAGCUCGUAGGCGGCUUGUUGCGUCGGUUGUGAAAGCCCGGGGCUUAACCCCGGGUCUGCAGUCGAUACGGGCAGGCUAGAGUGUGGUAGGGGAGAUCGGAAUUCCUGGUGUAGCGGUGAAAUGCGCAGAUAUCAGGAGGAACACCGGUGGCGAAGGCGGAUCUCUGGGCCAUUACUGACGCUGAGGAGCGAAAGCGUGGGGAGCGAACAGGAUUAGAUACCCUGGUAGUCCACGCCGUAAACGUUGGGAACUAGGUGUUGGCGACAUUCCACGUCGUCGGUGCCGCAGCUAACGCAUUAAGUUCCCCGCCUGGGGAGUACGGCCGC